UACAGAGGGUGCAAGCGUUGUUCGGAAUUAUGGGCGUAAAGCGCGUGUAGGCGGCUUUGCAAGUCGGGUGUGAAAGCCCUCAGCUUAACUGAGGAAGUGCGCCCGAAACUGCAGAGCUUGAGUACCGGAGAGGAUGGUGGAAUUCCCCAAGUAGAGGUGAAAUUCGUAGAUAUGGGGAGGAACACCGGUGGCGAAGGCGACCAUCUGGACGGAUACUGACGCUGAGACGCGAAAGCGUGGGUAGCAAACAGG
Molecule: ribosomal RNA, 252 nt
Filed under: uncultured bacterium
Lineage: Bacteria
Description: partial 16S ribosomal RNA
Rfam family: Bacterial small subunit ribosomal RNA
Source: RNAcentral